UCGAGGUGGCACAUUCGGGCACCUACCAGUGCGUGGCCACCAACCAGCUGGGACAGGACGGGCACCGCGUGUUCCAUGCACUCACCCCCGAGCUGGCCCUGGAGGUGACACCUGGCUCUCCCUGGCUCACAGGUGGGGUCCCACGGGGUCACUGGGCUGUUCAGGACCCCCGAGGCUCAGGGUGACCCCGGUGUGUCCCCCUCUGUCCCCAGCAGUGGCUGUGAAUGUCGGCAGGACCCUCCUGUUCCUGCUCCUGCUCCUGGCUGUCGUCGGGGGCUGUCUCUGGUGGCACCGCCGGGCUGCCAGGAAGCUCCAGGACAGGUCCCCACAACCAGUGUCACUCUCAGGGCCCCCACGGGUGUCCCCUGGCCCUGCCCCACCUCGGGAUCCACGAGUGACCAACGCGGAGCUGCCGGGACCCUACAAGGGACAGAGGGACCCCCGUGACAACAAGAUCGUGUUGUGACACUGGGGGCACUGGGAAGAGAAAUGUUUUGACAGGUUUUCAUUUUGGAUUCUUUGUGUGCUUUCCUUUCUGGUAUUUUUUUCCCUCUUUAAUAAAAGUAUAGUACUAGUAUCUUCAUAAA
Non-coding RNA from Lonchura striata (white-rumped munia), 587 nucleotides. Lineage: Eukaryota; Metazoa; Chordata; Aves; Passeriformes; Estrildidae. The record is from RefSeq and is a predicted model, not a curated record.